GAUGAAGAACGCAGCGAAAUGCGAUAAGUAAUGCGAAUUGCAGAAUUUCCGUGAGUCAUCGAAUCUUUGAACGCACAUUGCGCCCACUGGUAUUCCGGUGGGCAUGCCUGUUCGAGCGUCAUUAUCCUCCCUCAAACCCCGUGUUUGGUGUUGGGCCCGCGUUCCCGCAAGGGAACUGGCCUCAAAGACAAUGACGGCGUCCGCGGGACCCUCGGUGCAACGAGCCUUCAGGAGCACGCGCCGAGUUUCAAGGUCCCCCCGGGCCGGUCUAACCCUUUUUUACUUCUAUGGUUGACCUCGGAUCAGGUAGGAAUACCCGCUGAACUUAAGCAUAUCAAUAAGCGGAGGA
RNAcentral lists this unclassified non-coding RNA (349 nucleotides) under soil metagenome. RNAcentral's name for it is "partial contains 5.8S ribosomal RNA, internal transcribed spacer 2, and large subunit ribosomal RNA". The stretch from base 1 to 121 matches the Rfam family "5.8S ribosomal RNA", at positions 35 to 154 of the family's 154-position model. The record is from RNAcentral.